AUGGGGAGUCGGAAAAUGGCGUCACAGCCCGGGCGCGGCGCCGGCGCCGGCGACGACGCCGGCACGUCGCAGCGCGGGCAGGUGCAGAGCCUGGCGAGGCAGGGGUCUCUGUACAGCCUCACCCUCGACGAGGUGCAGAACCAUCUGGGAGAGCCCCUGCAGAGCAUGAACCUCGAUGAGCUGCUCAGGACCGUGUUUCCUGACGACAUGGAGCCCGAUGGCGCGACCACCAGCCAGUAUGUGCCGAGCUCAAGCCUCCUGCGCCAGGGCAGCAUCACGAUGCCGACCGAGCUCAGCAAGAAGACGGUGGAUGAGGUGUGGAAGGGCAUCCAGGAGACACCCAAGAGGAGUGUCCAGGGGAGUGGCCGGCGCAAGCGGGAGAGGCAGCCCACACUCGGGGAGAUGACACUCGAGGAUUUCUUGGUCCAAGCAGGGGUUGUCACCCAAGGAUUUCUCAAGGACACUGGCGAUGCUGGCAAUUUGGGUCUGGUGGGGAGAGGUGCCACAGCAGCCGGAGCCGCCGAUUUGACAUCUGGGGCGCAGUGGUUAGGCCAGUACCAGCAGCAGAUUGCAGCUGCAGCCGUCAGCACUCAUCAGCAUGGCCAGCAAAUUGUGCCAGCUGCUUAUAUGCCCAUUCAGUUUGUCCCUCAGCCGCUGAAUGUUGUUGGCCCUGGUGCCUCUGUGGGGUCUGCUUACUCUGAUGGCCAGAGUACAUCACCAAUCAGUCCAAUAUCUGAUUCUCAGACACCUGGGAGAAAGCGUGGUGUAUCAGGAGAUAUCCCGAAUAAGUUUGUGGAGAGAAGGCAGAAGAGAAUGAUCAAGAAUAGGGAGUCGGCUGCCCGUUCAAGGGCUAGGAAGCAGGCCUACACUAAUGAACUCGAAAACAAGGUAUCCCGUUUAGAAGAGGAGAAUGAGAGGCUAAAGAAGCAAAAGGAGUUGAACAUGAUGCUUUGCUCGGUGCCUCUACCAGAACCCAAGUAUCAACUCAGGAGAACAUGCUCGGCCGCUUUCUGA
This 1014-nucleotide ribosomal RNA is filed under the name Triticum aestivum (bread wheat). RNAcentral's name for it is "partial small subunit ribosomal RNA". Lineage: Eukaryota; Viridiplantae; Streptophyta; Magnoliopsida; Poales; Poaceae. The record is from RNAcentral.